AGCUUUGCGCAGUGGCAGUAUCAUAGCCAAUGAGGGUUAGCCGAGGCGCGAUUAUUGCUAACUGAAAACUUUUCCCAGUAUCCCGCCAUGAUGAUUUGAAAUAUAGUCGGCAUUGGCAAUAUUUGGCAGUCUCUACGGGGA
Molecule: small nuclear RNA, 141 nt
Filed under: Saimiri boliviensis boliviensis (Bolivian squirrel monkey)
Lineage: Eukaryota; Metazoa; Chordata; Mammalia; Primates; Cebidae
Description: U4 spliceosomal RNA (ENSSBOG00000000788.1)
Rfam family: U4 spliceosomal RNA
About the family: U4 small nuclear RNA (U4 snRNA) is a component of the major U2-dependent spliceosome. The structure of U4 snRNA from yeast and human has been reported. U4 snRNA presents a k-turn RNA motif in the 5p-SL related to recognition of Snu13 protein.
Source: Rfam by way of RNAcentral